Molecule: non-coding RNA, 2273 nt
Organism: Vicugna pacos (alpaca)
Lineage: Eukaryota; Metazoa; Chordata; Mammalia; Artiodactyla; Camelidae
Source: RefSeq, a predicted model, not a curated record
GCUCUGAGCGUGACCUUGCUUGGAACCAGCACCAUUAUUGCCGUUCAUCACAGACAGUAGCACUGAGCCCGGAAGAGGGGAGAGUGCUUUCAGUCUGCAGGUCGCAUCAUUGAACUUAACCCUUCUCCUCACAGAUCUCCAGUGGUUGGGCAUCUUUCCCUCCAGCCUCAAAUGAGAAAACCAAACCCCACAAAGCAUUACUGCCCAGGAUCACGCAGUGUUCAAAUGUACCAGACCCCAAGCUCAGCGCUCUCCCCUGGAGCAGGCCAACUGCAUGAUGGUCCUCUCAAAAUACUACACCUGAGUGUGUGGAUUUAAAGAGGAUUACACGCAGAUCCAGUGAAAGACUGACUGACAGCUAAGGUUUCUUUUCCCUACAGGUUCAAAUACUGAAUUUUCAUCAAGUUCAAACAAUUUGGACAAAGGUUUGGCUAAAUUAUUUGGUUAUCCUCAACAAAAGAGCUUGAGAGAUGCCGAGUUUGCAUCAGGUUCAAAUAAGCGAGAAGAACAUUUGGCUCGACUGUUUGAUGAAAUUCUACUGCGAGGGUUUUCCAAAGUUCCAUAUGAAGCACUGUUUGAUGAAACAAAGACAGCAGAUGAAUCAAUUACAGAGAGAGACGUGAAAGAAAGCAAGUAUUGUCUUUCAAUCUCUAAGGGCACGUUUUCCUAUAGGCUGAGGGGCUGUAUUAUAUGUGCCAUGCUAUCACUUCACCAUUCUUUAAAACAGCUACUUGUGCAGCAAAGACAGAUUGAGAUGUGAAGGAAAGAAUUGUCUGAAAUCCUAUCACCUCCAAGAUAAAAGUGUGACUAUCCCUCUGUUUUGGGGAGAUCCCUCAAGUUCAUGUGUCAGGCAGAUUCUUACCUUCUGGAGGCUAUUCAGAGGAUGGGAACUAGAAUUCCAAGCGGUGUUCACCGUUCUUGACACCAGGAGCCCUGACUGGUGUAAUAACUCCCGCUGGACACUCUUACACUUCCACGUGUAUGACCUGGUUUGAGGCUAAUCUCAGCUCUAGGUGAGAGCCGGUGCAGUCCUUAGUACCUCAUUCCAUGGAUAAGAACAAGGCCAAAAAAAAAAUCACUUGUCCUGGGCACACCUGUUGAAAUAACAAAAGUGAUGAAUAUACUUUUCCUUUUAAAGCAGCUUCAUAUUAUUAUUUUUUUAAGUAACACUUUGAGAAUUAAGACAGGUAUUUGAUCCAAGGUCAUAAGGAUAGAAUUGUGUAUCAGAAAGUUCCAGCAGUGCAAGGAAGUGCCCUGUUCUGGAAAUUUGCAUACAAAUGUGAAUUUCCAUUCCUUUCCCACAGCCUCUGCCUGGGCUUCUGCCUCUGUAAUCAGCCAUCAACUGGUGCCACUCUCUACAAUGACAUACAAACUUUCAAGUACUCAUUUCCAAGUACAAGCUGAAUUCUGUAUUAGCAUUUAACCACUUUAAAAAAUAGACCCAAGGUGCUUGUGUGUACUGAUAAAAACUUUUUCAUUAUUUUUAUGUGUUUCAUCAUCAAAGAAGCCGAUGUUGAUGGAAAUUCUCCUGAAUCAGAAUUUUCCCUUGGCAGCGUGGACAGAAUUUCCAACAAUGGUCACAGUUCAGAGGAGAAGAGGGAUAAAGAAUCUUCUCUGUUCAACAGGGAUGCAAGUGACAAGCAGUUAACCACCGUAGGUAAAGGAGCACUUCAAGAAGCAAUCAGUCCAGCUGUUCCAAAUAGGAGUGUGCCCUGCGCGCAGCUUCUGCAUUUCCUCCAGCGGAACAUCAUCAUCGCCGCCGUCUCGGUGGCGGGAAUCCUCGUGGCCACAGUGUUGCUGCUGUUGGUGUUGAUCACAUACAUCAGGAGGAAGCAGCCAUUACACCCUCCGGCAGACACGACCUAUAAUAUUUUUAUAAUGAAUGGAAAGACUUGGUGGCAGACAUCUCAAGAAAAGAACGCCAGAAAACAUUCUGGAAAACAGAAACCGUUGAAGGGUAAUUCCUGUGUCUAGGCCAGGUGGUGGGGCCAGCCAGCCAGCACCGCAAGCUGUGAUGUGAGGCGAUUCUCCAUCCAAACGCUGUGCAGAGGCAACUGGAUUUCUAGCUGUGAGGUGCACCUUACAAAACGCGUACCUUUUCCUCUCAAUUUUGAAUGGACCAAGAAAACAGUGUUUGACCACAGCAUGCUCAUGGUGGUCAUGGCAUUAAUGACUAGUGCAGGAGACUUAGCACAUUUCCUCAGAGACUGACCUGACUGACUGUGGAUUUAUUUAUUUAUUAAAGCAUUGAUUCGUUUUUUACAGCUAUUCAA